This 1353-nucleotide long non-coding RNA is filed under the name Homo sapiens (human). Its description in RNAcentral is "long independently transcribed non-coding RNA 2240 (LINC02240)". Lineage: Eukaryota; Metazoa; Chordata; Mammalia; Primates; Hominidae. The record is from RNAcentral.
GUAUGAAACUCCUCUAAUGGAUGCCCUGGAGAACAUCACAUGAAGCCAUUUCAUCGAUAACAUCAUGCUGAUCAGGAGACUGGCUUCAUUGAUUAUAAAAUGAUCUACAGGAGCCUCUGUUCUUGAAAGGAAGGGGAGAAGAGAGGAGAGAGAAGGAAGGGGAGAGAAGAGAGGAAGGGAGGAACUGGACAAGAGCUGUUUGAAGGAGUCCAGGUAAAAGAAGACUGUAGCUGGUACCACAUUGUUAGUAGUUGAGGACCUCCAGUACAAUUUUCAGGAGAAGUGGCAAGAAUGGACAUCCACCUCCCACCAUGUGAUGACAUGCAAAACAUUAAAAACUUGAGAUGAAAGCAUGCCGUUCUAAAACAUAUUUGGCUCAAAGAAAAAGAUGCUUCCCAGGACUACAAAAGAUCUUUCUUUAAUGAAACUUUAAUUAAACUUUGCUUUAAUUUGGAUCACAACGAAGAAAAUAAGGACUUUUCAUCUUGCCCCAUGUGGAAAGUAUCAGUGUCUCCUAUGAAUAAAAUUUUUGGAAUUUAAAUGUCUUGCAAUCUUUCAGGACCUUUAGUCCCAUUGAUAAUUGACUAUGACAACAAAAUCAAUUGUUUGCAACUAAAUUUACAAACAUAUAUUUUUAGGAUGGAUACAUGUACCAGAAAUACAUUAUUGUGUGCCCUCUAAGGUGUUAUUAGUAACAAUGGUAAUUAGAGGGAACAAAAGCUGGGAAAAUAAAAUUGGGAGGAGGCUAUAAGCCAGUUCUUUAGGGUUAAUGAAACAAUAGUUGACAUCAUGUUUUCCCUCCCCAAAGAAGCCACCAAAUGGCAACACAUAAUUAGUAUGAAAUAACACUAUUCAGAACAAUUCUUAGGUGCUAAAUACUUUGUUAUCUACAAAGAACACAUAUUUGAAAAACGUCAACUUUUGAAAAGACUCAAAUAGAGUGUUUGAAUAUGUGUCAUGUUUAGAAUCUGGUCUGUUUCAUAGGGAAUGUUCUUGCUGUCAAUACCACUGUGUGUUACCUCUUCACUGGGAAGGAGUCCAUAUGUCUCAGAUUUGCCCUUGACCACAGACAUUUGCCAAGAAGAGACAAGAAAUGUGUCCUCAUUUGUACAGAUGUACGGAGAAGAAAGCUCAUCAUUUUCAAAAAACAACUAAAAUGCCUUCUCUGUACUGAACAUUAUGUGUGUGGAUUACAGAGUGGAAUAAGAGGGAUGCAACCUGGCCUUAAUAAGGGAGAGGUGUUCAUGGCACACGUAUACCUUUGUAACAAACCUGCACAUUCUGCACAUGCAUCUCAGAACUUAAAGUAAAAUAAAAAAUAAAAAUAAAGAAGUGAAAAAAAAAAAAAAAAAA